AUGAUUCGUCAAUACUGGUGGGGAGUGGAAAAAGGGAAAAGGAAAAUGGCGUGGCUUAGUUGGGAGAAGAUGAGACUUCCGAAAGCCAUGGGCAGCAUGGGCUUCAGAGAUAUGAGAGCUUUCAACCAGGCUCUUCUUGCUAAACAAGCUUGGAGGCUUAUUGAAACACCUGAUAGUUUGUGUGCUAGACUGCUGAAAGCCAAGUACUUUGCUGCCGGCCAUCUUCUUGAUACAGUAUUCACAGGUAAUGGCUUGGCGGUGUGGAAGGGAAUUUUGCAUGGGCUUGAGCUGUUAAAGAAGGGUAUAAUUUGGCGCGUUGGGAAUGGAACGCUUAUCAGGACCUGGAGAGAUCCUUGGAUCCCACGGCCGUACUCUUACAGACCUAUCACCCGAAGCGCAAUUGUCGUUUUAAUAGAGUUUCUGAUUUUUGGAUAUGAAUGGUGCUUGGAGGAUGGACAGACUAAGAGAUCAUUUCUGGGCAAUGGAUAUAGAGCAUAUAUUAAAGAUACGGACUUCUCCGAGGUUGCGGACUGA
This 534-nucleotide ribosomal RNA is filed under the name Triticum aestivum (bread wheat). Its description in RNAcentral is "partial small subunit ribosomal RNA". The record is from RNAcentral. Lineage: Eukaryota; Viridiplantae; Streptophyta; Magnoliopsida; Poales; Poaceae.